AGUGAACGCUGGCGGUAGGCCUAACACAUGCAAGUCGAACGGCAGCACAGUAAGAGCUUGCUCUUACGGGUGGCGAGUGGCGGACGGGUGAGGAAUACAUCGGAAUCUACUUUUUCGUGGGGGAUAACGUAGGGAAACUUACGCUAAUACCGCAUACGAUCUACGGGUGAAAGCAGGGGAUCUUCGGACCUUGCGCGAUUGAAUGAGACGAUGUCGGAUUAGCUAGUUGGCGGGGUAAAGGCCCACCAAGGCGACGAUCCGUAGCUGGUCUGAGAGGAUGAUCAGCCACACUGGAACUGAGACACGGUCCAGACUCCUACGGGAGGCAGCAGUGGGGAAUAUUGGACAAUGGGCGCAAGCCUGAUCCAGCCAUACCGCGUGGGUGAAGAAGGCCUUCGGGUUGUAAAGCCCUUUUGUUGGGAAAGAAAAGCAGCAGGUUAAUACCCCGCUGUUCUGACGGUACCCAAAGAAUAAGCACCGGCUAACUUCGUG
RNAcentral lists this ribosomal RNA (492 nucleotides) under uncultured bacterium. RNAcentral's name for it is "partial 16S ribosomal RNA". It matches the Rfam family "Bacterial small subunit ribosomal RNA", at positions 29 to 507 of the family's 1533-position model. The record is from RNAcentral.